Macaca mulatta (Rhesus monkey) is the source of this 148-nucleotide unclassified non-coding RNA. It matches the Rfam family "Metazoan signal recognition particle RNA". Rfam says of the family: The signal recognition particle (SRP) is a universally conserved ribonucleoprotein. It is involved in the co-translational targeting of proteins to membranes. The eukaryotic SRP consists of a 300-nucleotide 7S RNA and six proteins: SRPs 72, 68, 54, 19, 14, and 9. The record is from Ensembl. Lineage: Eukaryota; Metazoa; Chordata; Mammalia; Primates; Cercopithecidae.
GCCGGGUGUGGUGGCAUGCACCUGUAAUCCCAGCUACUUGGGAGGCUGAGGCAGGAGAAUCACUUGAACCUGGGAGGUGGAGGUUGCAGUGAGCCAAGAUUGCACUGCUGCACUCCAGCCUGGGUGACAGAGUGAGACUCUGCCUCAA